AUAACCUGAGCUAUCUCGACGCAUCCUUGCUUCGCGUGUCUGCUAGGUUUCCUCCCACCGCCGUCGCCUCUUGCUAGCCGCCGCUGUCGUCGCCCUUGCCGACGUCAUGCAGGGAGCUUAGCCAACGUCGCUACCCUGCUCCAACGUUGGCAUCGUCGGUCUUCACUCGUACAUCUGCUGCUCGAUCUGUUCUUGCUGCACAUCUUGCAACCCCAGCCUACGUACAAGUCUGAUCUUGACGCCCAGCUCCAGUCUAGUCGUCCGUGUCCAAGCUCUUGCCAAGAUGGAUAAAGGUAAAUCUAGGAAAGCAAAUUGGGAUCCUGUUGCCCAUAAGAUUUUCCUUGACAUUUGUGUUGAAGAAGUGAAUGCAAAUAAUCGUUCUGAUGGACAUUUGAGCCCAAUUGGGUAUGAAAAUAUGAUAAGAAAGUUCAAUGAACGGAAAAAAAGAAACUAUGUUCGCAAGCAAUUCAAAAAUAGGUGGGAUUUACUAAAAAAAGAGUACAAUUGUUGGAAGAUCGUUGAACCAAAAGGCAUCUCGCAUUGGAAUAGAUCCAGUUACUAAGAGCAUUGCGGCUACCGACGAAUGGUGGGAAAAUGAAAUACAGAGAAAUGAGAUUGCAGCCAAGUUUCGAUAUGCUCAAUUAGUGGAUGAGCAAAGAAUGAGUUUAAUAUUUGAUGACCAUAGUGUGACAAAUGCCUACGCAAGGGUUGCAACUCCCUCGUCUCAAGUUGAUGUCUCUCAAAUUAACAUCGAAGAGGAUAAUGUGGUUGACUCAGGUUGUGAAUUAGAUGAUAACCAAGUUACUCAGAACAAAGUUUCAUCUAAAGGUCAAAAGAAGAGAUCAUGCUCUUAUUCACCUAGUCCCAAGAUGGUCCAAAAAAGCAGCAAAAGAGAGUGAUGAUAAAAUGGUAUUUAACCGUAUGGUUGACCUUUGGGAGAGGAGGGAGAUUAGCCGCAACUCGGCGAUGUCGCAAAUAAAUGUGGAUCAUGCGAGAGUUGAGAUCAAAGAGAUGACGACCAUAGUGGUGAACGAUGGAGGUCGACCUGGAAGUGAUGUGUAUUUCUAUGCUCUAUAGCUGUUUACGAAGAAGGAACAUCAUGAUGUAUUCAGUGCCCUGAAGGAUGAGGCUACUGGUGUGAGGCUUGAAUGGAUAAAGAGAACAUGGGAUGUCUUUAUGAAAAAAGAUUAGAACAUAUGUGGUGUUAUUUGCUUUCAAUAAAAUUAGUUCCUAUCGACUUGUACUCUCGUGAACCUAUGUUAUUUGGAACCUCUUGUUUGCACUCAGAUUGUAAUGUUGGGAAACCGGAUUAUUUGAUAUCAACUUGUAUGCAUUACUCAUCUUUGUUUUUGUUUUCAA
This is an RNA transcript of Hordeum vulgare subsp. vulgare (domesticated barley), 1359 nucleotides long. It is a transcript of the gene named protein ALP1-like, with no coding region annotated. The transcript is spliced from 3 exons. The record is from RefSeq and is a predicted model, not a curated record. NCBI's taxonomy places the organism in Eukaryota, Viridiplantae, Streptophyta, Magnoliopsida, Poales, Poaceae.